CAAAAGCGCAUGGAGUUAGCAAAACAAAACAGAUAUUAUACUAAUUUUACGAAUACUUUAUUUAAAAUUUGGAAAAUAAUUUAAGAAAAAAAGGUGGCGCCUUUGUAUUUAUGUCCAUGAACAGUGAGUGCGCAGUGCUGUGAUCUGAUGCAAACAAGAAGCCAAAAAAUACGAGUGAGAAAAAAUUCGGAAAUUUAUUGGUUGGCGUUGGCGCGUUAGGCACAGCGUAUAAAGGAUAGCCACACACCACUACAGCCAUUUGGGUUUUCUUUUCGCUUUUCUUUAUCUUGCUUUGAAUCCAAAAAGCAAACCAAAAUUCUGUUCUUCAUUCUUUCCAACUGGGAGAGAAUUUCUACCUCUAAUUCCAAGUUUUCUCUGGGUUAUCAAAGACGAAAGCCAGGGAAUGCUGAAAGAUGUGCUUCAAGGUUGAGAAUUCGCCAUCUCUUAUCGAUGAGGUUGUAGCUUUGUUUGAGCUGCCCUUGCUUAUCAAUGAUGAGACU
This is a long non-coding RNA of Pyrus x bretschneideri (Chinese white pear), 500 nucleotides long. RefSeq lists it as uncharacterized. Lineage: Eukaryota; Viridiplantae; Streptophyta; Magnoliopsida; Rosales; Rosaceae. The record is from RefSeq and is a predicted model, not a curated record. The transcript is spliced from 2 exons.